CCAGACUCCUACGGGAGGCAGCAGUGGGGAAUAUUGCACAAUGGGGGGAACCCUGAUGCAGCGACGCCGCGUGGGUGAAGGAGCACCUCGGUGCGUAAAGCCCUAUCGGCAGGGAAGAAACAGACGGUACCUGACUAAGAAGCCCCGGCUAACUACGUGCCAGCAGCCGCGGUAAUACGUAGGGGGCAAGCGUUAUCCGGAUUCACUGGGUGUAAAGGGAGCGUAGACGGCGACGCAAGUCUGGAGUGAAAGCCCGGGGCCCAACCCCGGGACUGCUCUGGAAACUGCGGCGCUGGAGUACGGGAGGGGCAGGCGGAAUUCCUGGUGUAGCGGUGAAAUGCGUAGAUAUCACGAAGAACUCCGAUUGCGAAGGCAGCCUGCUGGACUGUAACUGACGCUGAUGCUCGAAAGUGUGGGUAUCAAACAGGAUUAGAUACCCUAGUA
Molecule: ribosomal RNA, 444 nt
Filed under: uncultured bacterium
Lineage: Bacteria
Description: partial 16S ribosomal RNA
Rfam family: Bacterial small subunit ribosomal RNA
Source: RNAcentral